Molecule: transfer RNA, 85 nt
Filed under: Felis catus (domestic cat)
Lineage: Eukaryota; Metazoa; Chordata; Mammalia; Carnivora; Felidae
Rfam family: tRNA
About the family: Transfer RNA (tRNA) molecules are approximately 80 nucleotides in length. Their secondary structure includes four short double-helical elements and three loops (D, anti-codon, and T loops). Further hydrogen bonds mediate the characteristic L-shaped molecular structure. tRNAs have two regions of fundamental functional importance: the anti-codon, which is responsible for specific mRNA codon recognition, and the 3' end, to which the tRNAs corresponding amino acid is attached (by aminoacyl-tRNA synthetases). tRNAs cope with the degeneracy of the genetic code in two manners: having more than one tRNA (with a specific anti-codon) for a particular amino acid; and 'wobble' base-pairing, i.e. permitting non-standard base-pairing at the 3rd anti-codon position.
Source: Rfam by way of RNAcentral
GCUUGGGUGGCUCAGUCGGUUGAGCGUCUGACUUCAGCUCAGGUCAUGAUCUCACAGUCCGUGGGUUCGAGCUCCGCACCAGGCU